RNAcentral lists this ribosomal RNA (504 nucleotides) under uncultured bacterium. Its description in RNAcentral is "partial 16S ribosomal RNA". It matches the Rfam family "Bacterial small subunit ribosomal RNA", at positions 899 to 1397 of the family's 1533-position model. The record is from RNAcentral.
ACUCAAAUGAAUUGACGGGGGCCCGCACAAGCGGCGGAGCAUGUGGCUUAAUUCGACGCAACGCGAAGAACCUUACCAAGGCUUGACAUACACCGGAAACAUCCAGAGAUGGGUGCCCCCUUGUGGUCGGUGUACAGGUGGUGCAUGGCUGUCGUCAGCUCGUGUCGUGAGAUGUUGGGUUAAGUCCCGCAACGAGCGCAACCCUUGUCCCGUGUUGCCAGCAGGCCCUUGUGGUGCUGGGGACUCACGGGAGACCGCCGGGGUCAACUCGGAGGAAGGUGGGGACGACGUCAAGUCAUCAUGCCCCUUAUGUCUUGGGCUGCACACGUGCUACAAUGGCCGGUACAAUGAGCUGCGAUACCGUGAGGUGGAGCGAAUCUCAAAAAGCCGGUCUCAGUUCGGAUUGGGGUCUGCAACUCGACCCCAUGAAGUCGGAGUCGCUAGUAAUCGCAGAUCAGCAUUGCUGCGGUGAAUACGUUCCCGGGCCUUGUACACACCGCCCGU